Molecule: long non-coding RNA, 247 nt
Filed under: Musa acuminata (dwarf banana)
Lineage: Eukaryota; Viridiplantae; Streptophyta; Magnoliopsida; Zingiberales; Musaceae
Description: long non-coding RNA (MACU_LNC011339)
Source: RNAcentral
UUGAGUGGUGAGUCUUUUAUUUUCUAGUUCUGUAUCCUCGUUUAAUUUCCGUUGGGUGGUGAACUUUCUGUAUCCCAUUGCGAUUUUAAACUUGGUGGUGAGCUACUUUUCAUUUUUAUCUACGCUGCUUCGUUAGUGCUUAUGGUAUCAGUUCUUCCUUGUCUACUGUGACAUUUUCUAUCUGAACAAAUUUUCCAUCGGUGUUAUUUGGAAAUCCAUUCUGCAUUUUUACCCUCCCCGGUAUCAG